AUACUUACCUGGUGUCGGGAAGCCUGUGAUCAAUGCGGCAGGCUCCCCGGGUGGAGGCCAAGACAUUGCACUGCGUUUUGGUUGAAACCCGCCACUUCCCCAAAUCGGGGUAGCUGGGACAUGCAAUUUUUGGUAGAGGGGGCUUGCGUACGCGCUCGUCCCCG
This is a small nuclear RNA of Ornithodoros turicata, 164 nucleotides long. RefSeq annotates it as U1 spliceosomal RNA. Lineage: Eukaryota; Metazoa; Arthropoda; Arachnida; Ixodida; Argasidae. The record is from RefSeq and is a predicted model, not a curated record. The transcript has a single exon.